AUUGAACGCUGGCGGCAGGCCUAACACAUGCAAGUCGAACGGAAGAACCGUGCUUGCUUGUGGUUUCAGCGGCGGACGGGUGAGUAAUGCCUGGGAAUCUCCCUGGCUGUGGUUUAUUACGUCCUGAAACGGGUGCUAAUACCGCAUAAUCGCAGAGGCAGAAAGUGGGGGAUCUUCGGACCUUACGCUCUCAGAUGAGUGUAGGUGGGAUUAGCUAGUUGGUGGGGUAAAGGCCUACCAAGGCGACGAUCCGUAACUGGUCUGAGAGGAUGAUCAGUCACACUGGAACUGAGACACGGUCCAGACUCCUACGGGAGGCAGCAGUGGGGAAUAUUGGACAAUGGGCGAAAGCCUGAUACAGCCAUACCGCGUGUGUGAAGAAGGUCUUCGGGUUGUAAAGCCCUUUAAGUGGGGAGGAAGGGCAGUAGGUUAAUACCUUGCUGUUUUGACGUUACCAACAGAAUAAGCACCGGCUAACUUCGUG
This 484-nucleotide ribosomal RNA is filed under the name uncultured bacterium. RNAcentral's name for it is "partial 16S ribosomal RNA". It matches the Rfam family "Bacterial small subunit ribosomal RNA", at positions 30 to 507 of the family's 1533-position model. The record is from RNAcentral.